Molecule: RNA transcript, 2359 nt
Organism: Gossypium raimondii (Peruvian cotton)
Lineage: Eukaryota; Viridiplantae; Streptophyta; Magnoliopsida; Malvales; Malvaceae
Gene name: dolichol kinase EVAN
Exons: 15
Source: RefSeq, a predicted model, not a curated record
UUUUUUAUAUAUAAGGAAAAAAAAAAUAAAAGUUGAAAACCUUUCCUAUUUGGUCAAAUCCUUCCCGCGUAAAUCACCCUCUUUUCCCCGCUACCCAUGGUGGCCUCGCCGUUGACGGCGAUGAACGGCGAGAGAGCCGUGGUUUUCUUCUUCGUCUUCCGUGUUCUCUCUUCUCUCCCCCUUUCUCUCCUCCCUCAUGCCCUUUCCCUCUCUCUCCUCUCCGUUUUUUCUCUCUUCGUCGAGAUCCGCGCCGAUGGUUCUCUCUCCCUCUUCAAAACCAGGCCAGGUGCUUCAUCAGGAAUUAUGUUAGGUGCAGUUACGUUGCCUACUGUGAUGCUGUCGAAGUUGAUUCAGCUUUCAAGAGCUUUCUCUUUGCAACAAAUCGAGAUUGGAGAGCUUGAACAUAUGACGAUGCAAUUUUGGGCUGCAUCGGCUUGUUGCUGCGGUGUGCUAAUAUUUCUCUCCAUUCUUAUGUGGUGCGCUGCCUACAAUAAGAAUCCACAUUUCUCCUGUAGUGUUUGGGAUGCAAAGUUUAGCUUAAGCUGUGUCAUUUUAUUUUCGGUGGUUUGCUGUAUAUCGCUUGCUACAAUAUCUCAUACUGGUUUUAACACAGCAUUAAAGUUACUGUGGUUGCUAUGUCAUGGAUUUGCUGCAGUGAAAUUAAUUCAACAUCUUCUCAAUACGUUCCCUUGUUGUGCUUCAAUUGGAGAAGCACUUUUGUUGACUUCAGGCCUUGUACUCUAUUUUGGUGACAUGUUGGCAUGUACCAUUUCAAAGGUUUGUAGAUUGUUGGUUUCUCCAGAGUUGGUGUCUAUACGUUAUGGAAUUAAAAGAAGUGAGAUAGGUAUUAUCAUCCAGGGUGUGCUGCUUGGACUUCUUAUUUUUUCAGCAGUCUUUAAAUUUGUCAUCCACUUAUGGGAAUACUUCUCGCGUGCUGACAACUCCGAGUCAAGGAAAAACAAAGAAAUCAGGAGAUCUCUUAUAUUCUUUGCUUCACUUGGAUUUACCAUGAUUGUGGUUUCCCCAUCUUGGAUGAUGAUUGUCCUAGAUUUUGAUGUACAUCCUAUACUAUGGAUAUUCCAGUUUGUUUUAUCGGAACCAUUAAAACGACUGUCACUAUGUAUCUAUUGGUUGGGUUUGAUAUAUGCAUCUGUCUUGAGGUUCUACAACAUUUCUAAGAAUAGUAAGAUCGAGAGGAUUCUUCUUCGGAAAUAUUACCAUCUGCUGGCUGUUUCAAUGUUUCUGCCUGCUCUUAUUUACCAGCCAAAAUUUCUUGAUCUAGCAUUUGGUGCAGCUUUGGCAAUUUUUUUGGUAUUAGAAAUUAUUCGAGUUUGGAGAAUUUGGCCUUUAGGACAACUAGUGCAUCAAUUCAUGAGUGCCUUUACAGAUCAUCGUGACUCAGAUAUCCUUAUUGUAAGCCAUUUUUCACUUUUAUUGGGAUGUGCGCUUCCUAUCUGGAUGUCCUCUGGGUUCAAUGAUCGGCCUCUUAUCCCUUUUGCUGGAAUUUUAAGCCUUGGCAUUGGAGAUACGAUGGCAUCUAUGGUUGGCCACAAGUAUGGUGUCCUUAGGUGGAGCAAAACUGGCAAGAAAACCAUUGAAGGCACUGCAGCUGGUAUAGUAUCUGUCCUUGCUGCUUGCUCGAUUCUGCUUCCACUUCUGGCAUCCACCAGAUACAUUGCAACUCAGCAUUGGUUCCCUCUUCUCAUUGCCGUGACCACAAGUGGUUUAUUGGAGGCUUACACAGCACAACUCGAUAAUGCUUUUAUACCACUCGUCUUCUACAGCCUUCUCUGUUUGUAAAUGCAUACGUUAACCUUUUCCGAAAAAGAUAUAGUUUCUACACUGAUAUUUUCAAACAAAAUCCUUCACAAAUGUUUCCAUUCAUGGAGCCGAAAGAGCCUGUAAUGUACCAUAACGUUUGUUUGGUUGUACUUGGUAGAAUUAGUUUUACACCUUGAUAGGUGAGGUGAACCACAGAACAUGAAGGAAUUGGCUAGUUGAGAGAUAGUGAUUGUUUAGUGUAGUUGAUUACAUGAUGGUUAACCUGCAGAAGCCCAACCGUUAAAGCAUAGGCUUUUCAUCUUUGGUAGUUCACUCACUCCCAACCUAAUGGCGUUUGGGCUUUUCUUAGAUCCAGGGAGGGGGGCCCUGAGCUUCCAUUGUCUUCUGGCUAGCUCUUUUUGGCUCAAUGGGUCUUGGCAGCAUAUCCAUAAUGGUAAUUUCUAAGAAACCCCCAAAUGCUCACUCAUAUGCGUGUCUGUGCUUCAUAUAGAAUUUUAUUUUCAAAUUCGUUAAAUGUAUGUUGCCAUUGCCGACAUAUUAAUAUAUGGAAAGAAUAUUGAUAGUACUUAAUUUUUAA